Molecule: ribosomal RNA, 894 nt
Filed under: uncultured archaeon
Lineage: Archaea
Description: bacterial SSU rRNA
Rfam family: Archaeal small subunit ribosomal RNA
Source: RNAcentral
CCGACUGCUAUUUGGGUGAGAAUAAGCCAUGCGAGUUGAAUGGGAUACCUAAAGUUCCCAUAGCAAACUGCUCAGUAACACAUGAUCAACUUACCCUAUAGAGAAAAAUAACCUCGGGAAACUGAGGAUAAUGUUUCAUAAUUGAAUUGGCUUGGAAAAGUUUUUCAAUGAAAAGGAUAAAAAAAAUGGUUUUUAUCCGCUAUAGGAUAGGAUCGUGUUCGAUUAUGGUUGUUGGUGAGAUAAUGGCUCACCAAGCCGAUAAUCGAUAGGGGCCGUGAGAGCGGGAGCCCCGAGAUGGGUACUGAGACAACGACCCAGGCCUUACGAGGCGCAGCAGGCGCGAAACCUCCGCAAUACACGAAAGUGUGACGGGGUUACCCAAAGUGUUCAAUUUGAACUGUGGUAGGUGAGUAAUGUCCCCUACUAGAAAGGAGAGGGCAAGGCUGGUGCCAGCCGCCGCGGUAAAACCAGCUCUUCAAGUGGUCGGGAUAAUUAUUGGGCUUAAAGUGUCCGUAGCCGGUUUAGUAAGUUCCUGGUAAAAUCGGGUAGCUUAACUAUCUGCAUGCUAGGAAUACUGCUAUACUAGAGGGCGGGAGAGGUCUGAGGUACUACAGGGGUAGGGGUGAAAUCUUAUAAUCCUUGUAGGACCACCAGUGGCGAAGGCGUCAGACUGGAACGCGCCUGACGGUGAGGGACGAAAGCCAGGGGAGCGAACCGGAUUAGAUACCCGGGUAGUCCUGGCCGUAAACGAUGCAUACUAGGUGAUGGUACGGCCAUGAGCCGUAUCAGUGCCGUAGGGAAACCGUUAAGUGUGCCGCCUGGGAAGUACGGUCGCAGGGCUAAAACUUAAAGGAAUUGGCGGGGGAGCACCACAAGGGGUGAAGCCUGCGGUUC